CUGAUAAUAGCGAAGGGGCUUAACGCACUGGUUUGCAAAACCAGCAUUCGUGGGUUCAAAUCCCAUCUAAUAGUCCA
Molecule: transfer RNA, 77 nt
Filed under: Caryophanales bacterium
Lineage: Bacteria; Bacillati; Bacillota; Bacilli; Caryophanales
Description: tRNA-Cys
Rfam family: tRNA
About the family: Transfer RNA (tRNA) molecules are approximately 80 nucleotides in length. Their secondary structure includes four short double-helical elements and three loops (D, anti-codon, and T loops). Further hydrogen bonds mediate the characteristic L-shaped molecular structure. tRNAs have two regions of fundamental functional importance: the anti-codon, which is responsible for specific mRNA codon recognition, and the 3' end, to which the tRNAs corresponding amino acid is attached (by aminoacyl-tRNA synthetases). tRNAs cope with the degeneracy of the genetic code in two manners: having more than one tRNA (with a specific anti-codon) for a particular amino acid; and 'wobble' base-pairing, i.e. permitting non-standard base-pairing at the 3rd anti-codon position.
Source: RNAcentral